UACGUAGGGUGCGAGCGUUGUCCGGAAUUACUGGGCGUAAAGCGUGCGCAGGCGGUUUUGUAAGCCAGAUGUGAAAUCCCCGGGCUCAACCUGGGAAUGGCAUUUGGGACUGCAAGGCUGGAGUGUGGCAGAGGAGACUGGAAUUCCUGGUGUAGCGGUGAAAUGCGCAGAUAUCAGGAGGAACACCGGUGGCGAAGGCGGGUCUCUGGGCCGUAACUGACGCUGAGGAGCGAAAGCGUGGGGGGCGAACAGG
This 253-nucleotide ribosomal RNA is filed under the name uncultured bacterium. RNAcentral's name for it is "partial 16S ribosomal RNA". It matches the Rfam family "Bacterial small subunit ribosomal RNA", at positions 524 to 776 of the family's 1533-position model. The record is from RNAcentral.